RNAcentral lists this ribosomal RNA (778 nucleotides) under Bacillus sp. LWEN12. Its description in RNAcentral is "bacterial SSU rRNA". It matches the Rfam family "Bacterial small subunit ribosomal RNA", at positions 61 to 820 of the family's 1533-position model. Lineage: Bacteria; Bacillati; Bacillota; Bacilli; Caryophanales; Bacillaceae. The record is from RNAcentral.
GUCGAGCGGACAGAUGGGAGCUUGCUCCCUGAUGUUAGCGGCGGACGGGUGAGUAACACGUGGGUAACCUGCCUGUAAGACUGGGAUAACUCCGGGAAACCGGGGCUAAUACCGGAUGGUUGUUUGAACCGCAUGGUUCAAACAUAAAAGGUGGCUUCGGCUACCACUUACAGAUGGACCCGCGGCGCAUUAGCUAGUUGGUGAGGUAACGGCUCACCAAGGCAACGAUGCGUAGCCGACCUGAGAGGGUGAUCGGCCACACUGGGACUGAGACACGGCCCAGACUCCUACGGGAGGCAGCAGUAGGGAAUCUUCCGCAAUGGACGAAAGUCUGACGGAGCAACGCCGCGUGAGUGAUGAAGGUUUUCGGAUCGUAAAGCUCUGUUGUUAGGGAAGAACAAGUACCGUUCGAAUAGGGCGGUACCUUGACGGUACCUAACCAGAAAGCCACGGCUAACUACGUGCCAGCAGCCGCGGUAAUACGUAGGUGGCAAGCGUUGUCCGGAAUUAUUGGGCGUAAAGGGCUCGCAGGCGGUUUCUUAAGUCUGAUGUGAAAGCCCCCGGCUCAACCGGGGAGGGUCAUUGGAAACUGGGGAACUUGAGUGCAGAAGAGGAGAGUGGAAUUCCACGUGUAGCGGUGAAAUGCGUAGAGAUGUGGAGGAACACCAGUGGCGAAGGCGACUCUCUGGUCUGUAACUGACGCUGAGGAGCGAAAGCGUGGGGGAGCGAACAGGAUUAGAUACCCUGGUAGUCCACGCCGUAAACGAUGAGUGCUAAG